This 265-nucleotide ribosomal RNA is filed under the name uncultured Staphylococcus sp. RNAcentral's name for it is "partial 16S ribosomal RNA". It matches the Rfam family "Bacterial small subunit ribosomal RNA", at positions 96 to 355 of the family's 1533-position model. The record is from RNAcentral. Lineage: Bacteria; Bacillati; Bacillota; Bacilli; Caryophanales; Staphylococcaceae.
CGGCGACGGGUGAGUAACACGUGGAUAACCUACCUAUAAGACUGGGAUAACUUCGGGAAACCGGAGCUAAUACCGGAUAAUAUAUUGAACCGCAUGGUUCAAUAGUGAAAGACGGUUUUGCUGUCACUUAUAGAUGGAUCCGCGCCGCAUUAGCUAGUUGGUAAGGUAACGGCUUACCAAGGCAACGAUGCGUAGCCGACCUGAGAGGGUGAUCGGCCACACUGGAACUGAGACACGGUCCAGACUCCUACGGGAGGCAGCAGCU